GGGGGGUAGAAUUUCAGGUGUAGCGGUGAAAUGCGUAGAGAUCUGAAGGAAUACCGGUGGCGAAGGCGGCCCCCUGGACAGAUACUGACACUCAGAUGCGAAAGCGUGGGGAGCAAACAGGAUUAGAUACCCUGGUAGUCCACGCCGUAAACGAUGUCUACUUGGAGGUUGUGGCCUUGAGCCGUGGCUUUCGGAGCUAACGCGUUAAGUAGACCGCCUGGGGAGUACGGUCGCAAGAUUAAAACUCAAAUGAAUUGACGGGGGCCCGCACAAGCGGUGGAGCAUGUGGUUUAAUUCGAUGCAACGCGAAGAACCUUACCUACUCUUGACAUCCAGAGAACUUUCCAGAGAUGGAUUGGUGCCUUCGGGAACUCUGAGACAGGUGCUGCAUGGCUGUCGUCAGCUCGUGUUGUGAAAUGUUGGGUUAAGUCCCGCAACGAGCGCAACCCUUAUCCUUGUUUGCCAGCGAGUAAUGUCGGGAACUCCAGGGAGACUGCCGGUGAUAAACCGGAGGAAGGUGGGGACGACGUCAAGUCAUCAUGGCCCUUACGAGUAGGGCUACACACGUGCUACAAUGGCGCAUACAGAGGGCAGCCAACUUGCGAAAGUGAGCGAAUCCCAAAAAGUGCGUCGUAGUCCGGAUUGGAGUCUGCAACUCGACUCCAUGAAGUCGGAAUCGCUAGUAAUCGUGGAUCAGAAUGCCACGGUGAAUACGUUCCCGGGCCUUGUACACACCGCCCGUCACACCAUGGGAGUGGGCUGCAAAAGAAGUAGGUAGUUUAACCUUCGGGGGGGACGCUUACCACUUUGUGGUUCAUGACUGGGGUGAAGUCGUAACAAGGUAGCGCUAGGGGAACCUGGCGCUGGAUCACCUCCUUAAACGAUGAU
Molecule: ribosomal RNA, 888 nt
Filed under: Vibrio parahaemolyticus
Lineage: Bacteria; Pseudomonadati; Pseudomonadota; Gammaproteobacteria; Vibrionales; Vibrionaceae
Description: bacterial SSU rRNA
Rfam family: Bacterial small subunit ribosomal RNA
Source: RNAcentral